Molecule: long non-coding RNA, 229 nt
Organism: Mytilus californianus (California mussel)
Lineage: Eukaryota; Metazoa; Mollusca; Bivalvia; Mytilida; Mytilidae
Exons: 2
Source: RefSeq, a predicted model, not a curated record
AAUUUUUAGUACAGUAAUGUCUUAUUUGAUGUGAUGAUUUUAUAUUCCAAAUUAAGGUGGAUCAUCACUUUAUAUUUCCUUAAAUAGACGUUUCUUAUACAUUGCCAAAAUGUAGAUUUAUCAAGGGUUUUUUUUAAAUACAAUAAAAAGUAUGGGUCACCGUGCUAUUUUUCAAGCUACAAGUCGAGCAUCACUUUUUUGUGAAUAAAAAUAAAUCUAUGAGAUAGAA